CGGGCAGAGUGUGACCAGGCCUGGGGGGU
RNAcentral lists this non-coding RNA (29 nucleotides) under Homo sapiens (human). Lineage: Eukaryota; Metazoa; Chordata; Mammalia; Primates; Hominidae. The record is from RNAcentral.